This 427-nucleotide ribosomal RNA is filed under the name uncultured bacterium. Its description in RNAcentral is "partial 16S ribosomal RNA". It matches the Rfam family "Bacterial small subunit ribosomal RNA", at positions 355 to 774 of the family's 1533-position model. The record is from RNAcentral.
UGGGGAAUAUUGGACAAUGGGCGAAAGCCUGAUCCAGCCAUGCCGCGUGUGUGAAGAAGGGCUUCGGAUUGUAAAGCACUUUAAGUUGGGAAGAAGGGCAUUAACCUAAUACGUUAGUGUUUUGACGUUACCGACAGAAUAAGCACCGGCUAACUCUGUGCCAGCAGCCGCGGUAAUACAGAGGGUGCAAGCGUUAAUAGGAAUUACUGGGCGUAAAGCGCGCGUAGGUGGUUUGUUAAGUUGGAUGUGAAAUCCCCGGGCUCAACCUGGGAACUGCAUUCAAAACUGACUGACUAGAGUAUGGUAGAGGGUGGUGGAAUUUCCUGUGUAGCGGUGAAAUGCGUAGAUAUAGGAAGGAACACCAGUGGCGAAGGCGACCACCUGGACUAAUACUGACACUGAGGUGCGAAAGCGUGGGGAGCAAACA